This 497-nucleotide ribosomal RNA is filed under the name uncultured bacterium. RNAcentral's name for it is "partial 16S ribosomal RNA". It matches the Rfam family "Bacterial small subunit ribosomal RNA", at positions 28 to 507 of the family's 1533-position model. The record is from RNAcentral.
GAUGAACGCUGGCGGCGUGCCUAAUACAUGCAAGUCGAGCGAACAGACGAGGAGCUUGCUCCUCUGACGUUAGCGGCGGACGGGUGAGUAACACGUGGAUAACCUACCUAUAAGACUGGGAUAACUUCGGGAAACCGGAGCUAAUACCGGAGAAGAUAUUGAACCGCAGGGUUCAAUAGUGAAAGACGGUUUUGCUGUCACUUAUAGAUGGAUCCGCGCCGCAUUAGAUAGUUGGUAAGGUAACGGCUUACCAAGGCGACGAUGCGUAGCCGACCUGAGAGGGUGGUCGGCGACACUGGAACUGAGACACGGUCCAGACUCCUACGGUAGGCAGCAGUCGGGAAUCGUCCGCAAUGGGCGAGAGCCUGACGGAGCAACGCCGCGUGAGUGAUGAAGGUCUUCGGAUCGUAAAACUCUGUUAUUAGGGAAGAACAAAUGUGUAAGUAACUAUGCAGGUCUUGACGGUACCUAAUCAGAAAGCCACGGCUAACUACGUG